This 394-nucleotide long non-coding RNA is filed under the name Nicotiana benthamiana. Its description in RNAcentral is "long non-coding RNA (NBEN_LNC034584)". The record is from RNAcentral. Lineage: Eukaryota; Viridiplantae; Streptophyta; Magnoliopsida; Solanales; Solanaceae.
UCAUGAAAAGCUUCCGGAUGUGGGAAGUAAGGGAAGCAUGCUCUUUCCGCAUCUCGGCAGCAUGUUUAGUGUUGCUGGAGAUCAAACAAAAAAUGAAGAGUGGGAUGAAGAAAGCCUUGCCAGAGAGGGUGAUGAUUAUGCAUCUGAGGCUGCAGCUGAAGAAUCUGAUGACAAUUUGCAUAGCCCACUGAUAUCUCGUCAGGCAACAAGCAUGGAAAAGGACAUGGUUCCGCCUCCAUCUCGUGGAAGUUUUCUUAGCGAUGAUUAUGCAUCUGAGGCUGGAGCUGAAGAAUCUGAUGACAAUUUGCAGAGCCCACUGAUAUCUCGUCAGGCAACAAGCAUGGAAAAGGACAUGGUUCCGCCUCCACCUCGUGGAAGUUUUUUUAGCAUGAUG